Molecule: non-coding RNA, 1195 nt
Organism: Taeniopygia guttata (zebra finch)
Lineage: Eukaryota; Metazoa; Chordata; Aves; Passeriformes; Estrildidae
Source: RefSeq, a predicted model, not a curated record
UUUCGGGAUCCCCCGGCCCCUCGUCUCCUCCUCGGACGGCGCCGUCGCGCAGAGAACGAACCCACUCAAGCCUUCGGCGCCAGGCUCCGGGAGACUGGUUUUGGACCAUCUACCUCUGGGAGCACCGGUAGCGGGUGCCGGCCCGAGCGGCCGCAGUAACGCGAUCUCUGCCUUUGCCCGUCGUUCCCUUGCAAGGAAACCCGUUCGGCCCAGCGGCCGGGUCGCGGGCUCGCCCCGGUGCGCGCCAUCCCCGCCGUGCGCCUGCUGGGAUGCUCCAUCCCCGAGCGCCUCCCGCCAGCUUCCACCCCGAUGGUCUGCGGCACCGGUGGGAAGCGAGCGUAAAUACUCUACACAGAAGGACUGUGAAGGCUAACCUGAAACAGAGCCUUCUUGUGCCUUUUAUUCUGACGAAAACCAUUCCUCAAGGAUUUGCUUGGACAGGACGCUAUGAGCAAUCAGUAUUUUCUUUUUUGUUAGGAGCUGGCUGGUGUGGGCUCCCAGGGUCCCUCUGUUGCCAUCAGCCUGCCACACGCCAGGAGAGGCGAUACCACCACAGCCCCUGCUUUCCCUUCUCGCCCCAUCUGACGCCCUCGAGGGGCAAAACGCCCACUCCAAAAGGCAGAGGCAGAGGGAACAAUGCCAACCCAAACUCAUCUCUGCUGUUCUGCUUCCAGCCCGGCGUACUGCAUCCACCGCCAUCACAGUCCCUGAGCAGCAGCUCUGCUUCCGAUCCAAUGAUUUGUCAGCUAUGAAGAACACAAACAUGGUGAUUCUUUGCCAUUGGAAAGCCAUGUGGAUAGAUUGCUUGGAGACUUCUAAAAGAAGCUUGACACGGGUCAGGAAACCAUUUCCAGAUCUUUAAGGGAAAAAAAUUAGAGUGCCCAAAAGAUUUAGAAGCAUGCCAUUCCCUCCCUAUAUUCCUUUCUUGUCAGACUUUCCCCUACAAGGUAUUUACUGCAAAGAACCUGAACUCUCUGCACAGCUCCCUUGUUUUAUUCUUUUCUCCUGCAUGUCCCAGUAUUGUCCAUCUGAACGACAACCUUGUAGGACACACAGAUAUUUUGCAUGUGCUGUCUAACGAGUGGAGCCCAUGCCAUGGUGGGAGUUUUGAAAUAACACAAACAAGGAUACAUACAAUUAUCGCAAGUCUGCACUCCUUCUUCCUCUUUGUUUCACAAUUAAAGAUGUUCUGAUU